RNAcentral lists this ribosomal RNA (403 nucleotides) under uncultured bacterium. RNAcentral's name for it is "partial 16S ribosomal RNA". It matches the Rfam family "Bacterial small subunit ribosomal RNA", at positions 28 to 526 of the family's 1533-position model. The record is from RNAcentral.
GACGAACGCUGGCGGCGUGCCUAACACAUGCAAGUCGAACGCAGUGGGGACGGGUGAGUAACACGUGGGUAACCUCCCAUCAGAGGGGAUAACACUUGGAAACAGGUGCUAAACCGAUACUGAUGGAUGGACUCGGGGUGCAUUAGCUAGUUGGUGAGGUAACGGGUCACCCAGGCCACGAUGCAUAGCCGUCCGGCGAGGGUGAUGGGGUACACUGGUACUGGGGCACUGCCCAGACUCCUACGGCAGGCAGCAGUAGGGAAUCUUCGGCAAUUGACGAAAGUCGGACCGCGCAACGCCACGUGUGUGAAGAAGGUUUUCGUGUCGUAAAACUCUGUUGUUAGAGAAGCGGUAUCUAACGAGAAAGCCACGGCUAACUACGUGCCAGCAGCCGCGGUAAUUC